Molecule: long non-coding RNA, 743 nt
Filed under: Scophthalmus maximus (turbot)
Lineage: Eukaryota; Metazoa; Chordata; Actinopteri; Pleuronectiformes; Scophthalmidae
Description: lncRNA (ENSSMAG00000029579.1)
Source: RNAcentral
AUGAGUAGGAAACACGAGAGGGCCCACUUCUUCAGCUCCAAGGAGCAGGAACUCAUUUUGAAGCUGUACGAAGAGGAGCGGGAGAUUCUGACAGCCAAGUCCAACACCACCAGCGCUUCCAAACUGAGAGAGGAGGCCUGGCAGAGAAUCGCUGACAAGAUCAAUGUGGUUUCAGACAGUGGCUACAAAAGGACAUGGCAGCAAGUCAAAGUCAAACACAAAAACAUUGUGCAAACAGCGAAAAGAAGAAGGGCCGAGCUGAUGACCAACCAGGGCGGCUCGGCGACCCUGUCUCUGACCUCCGCCGAGGAAGACCUGCUGCAGCACAAGGACAACAGGCUGCGGGUGGAGGUCCUCCCUGGGGCCGCCUGCAUCGAGCCGCUGCCCGGAUCGGACGGCUCUUUUAUCAGCGGUAGGUGGGGUUCGCCUCGCGUGAAAGUCCGUCUUUUUUCCCCCCACGUAACAGCUUCAUUGAACGUCAGCCUCUGCCGUUACAGUGUCGGGCCAUCCCGUGCUCCUCCUGCCUGUGACCAAGGCCGAACCAGAGAGCUUGAGCAGUGAUGAGACAGACAUCAGUGACACACACUUCGAGGGGGUGAGUGCUUCUUAAACAUGCAGGUUUGUUUGUCUCUUAAUGGUUAACAUAAAGACUUUAUUUCUUUUUUUUAUAGGACGUGCACAGCAGCAGCUUCCGAGAAAGGUCCAACUCGGCAUGCGCUACCAUCGGCAGCAGAAGUGCAGAG